This 253-nucleotide ribosomal RNA is filed under the name uncultured bacterium. RNAcentral's name for it is "partial 16S ribosomal RNA". It matches the Rfam family "Bacterial small subunit ribosomal RNA", at positions 524 to 776 of the family's 1533-position model. The record is from RNAcentral.
GACGUAGGGAGCGAGCGUUGUCCGGAUUCAUUGGGCGUAAAGCGCGCGUAGGCGGUUUGGUAAGUCGGAUGUGAAAUCCCGAGGCUCAACCUCGUGACUGCAUCCGAUACUGCCCGACUAGAGGUAGGUAGGGGAGAUCGGAAUUCCUAGUGUAGCGGUGGAAUGCGUAGAUAUUAGGAAGAACACCAGUGGCGAAGGCGACUUUCUGGCCCGAUACUGACGCUGAGGUGCGAAAGCGUGGGGAGCAAACAGG